This 374-nucleotide ribosomal RNA is filed under the name uncultured prokaryote. RNAcentral describes it as "bacterial SSU rRNA". It matches the Rfam family "Bacterial small subunit ribosomal RNA", at positions 524 to 896 of the family's 1533-position model. The record is from RNAcentral.
UACGUAGGGAGCAAGCGUUGUUCGGAUUUACUGGGCGUAAAGGGCGCGUAGGCGGCGCGGUAAGUCACUUGUGAAAUCUCUGAGCUUAACUCAGAACGGCCAAGUGAUACUGCAGUGCUAGAGUGCAGAAGGGGCAAUCGGAAUUCUUGGUGUAGCGGUGAAAUGCGUAGAUAUCAAGAGGAACACCUGAGGUGAAGACGGGUUGCUAGGCUGACACUGACGCUGAGGCGCGAAAGCCAGGGGAGCAAACGGGAUUAGAUACCCCGGUAGUCCUGGCCCUAAACGAUGAAUACUUGGUGUCUGGAGUUCUAAUACUCCGGGUGCCGUCGCUAACGUUUUUAGUAUUCCGCCUGGGGAGUACGCUCGCAAGAGUG